Poecilia reticulata (guppy) is the source of this 355-nucleotide long non-coding RNA. RefSeq lists it as uncharacterized. Lineage: Eukaryota; Metazoa; Chordata; Actinopteri; Cyprinodontiformes; Poeciliidae. The record is from RefSeq and is a predicted model, not a curated record.
UAUUCCGCAGGAGCACGCGCUGUGAUUGUCAUGUACUCCUUUAGCUGAACCCUAAAUUUUGUAAUAACUGCGCUUAAAUAUGUCUCUUMAGCUACUUGCAUUCAUUUUGGGUAUUAAAACUGAUGUAACGUGAAUUCAAGCUUGAACAAAUUACAUGUAGGCACUUUGUAUAUGAGCACGAGCAGCUCACGUGGCAGCAGCGUGGGCAGGCCSUGAAACACGAAGGAGCUGAGCCACAGAUUACCAGAAUAACAUGGUUGGGGCUCAUCAAAUAGAAGGUGACUAACCAUGAACCGAAGCAAGUUUCCACUGUUGCACAUAACUAUGCAUAUUCAUAAUAAAACAUUUUCAUUUA